AAGGAAUAUUGGUCAAUGGGCGGAAGCCUGAACCAGCCAUGCCGCGUGCAGGAAGACGGCCCUACGGGUUGUAAACUGCUUUUAUACCGGAAUAAACCCUGAUACGUGUAUCAGGCUGAAUGUACGGUAAGAAUAAGGAUCGGCUAACUCCGUGCCAGCAGCCGCUGUAAUACGGAGGAUCCAAGCGUUAUCCGGAUUUAUUGGGUUUAAAGGGUGCGUAGGUGGCCUGUUAAGUCAGGGGUGAAAGACGGUAGCUCAACUAUCGCAGUGCCCUUGAUACUGACGGGCUUGAAUGAACUAGAGGUAGGCGGAAUGUGACAAGUAGCGGUGAAAUGCAUAGAUAUGUCACAGAACACCAAUCGCGAAGGCAGCUUACUAUGGUUUGAUUGACACUGAGGCACGAAAGCGUGGGGAUCAAACA
This 421-nucleotide ribosomal RNA is filed under the name uncultured bacterium. RNAcentral describes it as "bacterial SSU rRNA". It matches the Rfam family "Bacterial small subunit ribosomal RNA", at positions 356 to 774 of the family's 1533-position model. The record is from RNAcentral.